AUGCACAGUCGAGAUGUGUUCAGUCAACCCCAUGGCAUCAGGGAGGUCGAGUUCGUCGCGAGCAGCAGUACAUGGUUGUCGGCUUCAACUUUCUUCCACCAAGGUGCUUUCACUCGUUGAUGCAAGGAUUGUAAUCUUCUCCCUCGUGAGCUCUCUCUCUCUCUCACUGUCCGUGUUCAUGUUUACUACUGCUUCAAUUUCUUUGUGAUGCAGAUGUUGUCGGUGAACAUACUUUGUGUAGAAAAAAGUUACAAAAAAAUCACUUUUUCUGGUUGUGAAAUUUUCCAAAUUUGAUCUAGUCUAUUAGCUCAACAUGUAUUGUAUCAUCAAAACACACUCAUAUGUAUUUUAUAUAUGCAUCAACCUAUACAGUUCGGUACAUCAGUUCAUAAUAAACAAAAACAAAUGAAGAUCAGUGGUUUUGAUUGCUGCUGGUUUUGUAUCUCAUGGUGGUUCGUAGGUAUAAGAUGGGAUUUUCAUAGCUUUACAUUAUUGUUUUGGUUUGUGGCAGAUAGAUGCUUUUGAAAAAUGUUCUGCACAUGUUUUGUUGGAUUCAGUUCCUCCCAAAAAAGCACUAAAGGAGGUUAAAAAGCAUGGUUCUGCUUACUUGUGUCAUUUUUCCCUUCGUCGACAGAAAAAACUAGUUCAACUACAAAAGAAUACAUUAGUUCAAAUGUCAGAAAAACAUUGCUUCAAAUAAAUAAAUAAAAACAACUUAAGUAUACGCCAUCAUGGAGCUCUUGCCUUCAAGAUUUAUCUCUUGUUCUUGUUUUUCCCUUUCCAGGUUUAUGUUCUAGCAAACCUUUUUUUUCUUAUCAAUUACUCCUUCCGUAAAGAAAUAUAAGAGCGUUUAGAUUGCUACUUUAGUUAACUAAAUGAUAUUAUAUUUCUUUAUAGAGGGGAAUACCUCAUCUAUCCUUCCUUGUAGUUGGAGAUGUGUGUAUGUAUACAUGUGUUACGGAGAGAGAAGAACUUAUCUGGUGGUGUGUGUGUGUGCUGCUACAUCCUCGUCCAGCCGCUCUAGUCCACACUCUCAGUACAACUUCUCUAUGACCUCAUGUUCACAAAUCUUGUAGUACAUUUUUUUAAUAAAAAUCUUGUAGUACUAUGUAAAGCAAGCAUGGCCAACACAUACUUUAGAAGUGAUGCUAAAAACUGAGAUGUCAAAUUUAACAUUCUAUUAUUUUCUUUUAGUUUUGGAGUCUGAAUUUGUGGAUAUGUGAGCAGGCCCCAAUAUAGAGCUAGGCCUUGUCAAUGCAAAUUUAUUAUGCACCUGAUCCAAAUUCUUCUGAUGUUCUGGGCCUCCGGGGCAUGGGUCCAAUAUAUUAGUUUCUAUGCUCCACUGGUUCUCUCCACCACGAGCCCCAGCGUGGAUCUCCCUCAGCGGCCAAAUCCAGGCGCGCCCAGUCACUGCUCGUGAACCCCGCCUCCAUCAGCUCCACUUCACCGGAGUCGUCAGUGCGCAGGAGUAUGGGUAGCAGGUUCUGGUCAGAGUUCGGACUAUACCAAAUGUCCAAAUUACAUGGUGUGGUCUUGUGUUCUUUCCGUUCAUUUCAAGGUAACUGUAGCUGAUCUUGUGGUGUGUUGAUACUGAACUUGUGUUUUGGCUGAUUCUAAACUGAUGCGUAUCCAACAUUGGUGUUUAAACAAUUCUUGGUCCAUUGACUGUCUGAACUUGCAACCUUACUGCCUUGCAAUCUCUAAAUAUUUUCUUGAUCACUAAAUAAGACCAAUUUUAGCAUGUUUCCUGAAAUAUUGUAGCAUGUUUUAUGUUUCCAUCUACAAGUUCACACACUACUGUCUCGGACGUUCAAACAUUUGUUUCCCUGAUGUUCAGAUAUUAUCAUCUAGGAGGAAUACAUGUUGUAACUUCGAGAGAAAACGUUCAUGUUGAUUACUCCUGUCAAGUGUAAAAUUUCGCCAAUAUACAAUCUAUAAGUUCAAUAUCCAGUACAUUAGUUUAGUAGUUGGUACUAACUACUCCAGUUUUUUCUUGAUGUACCUGUGGUGUCUAGUUUUUCUUUCAGUUCAAUUUGUAAAUUUCAGCCAGUUCAAUUCGUAUUGUAGCUCCACUUUAGUCCACGUGGUUAAUUGUUGGCUGGUGUGUGUGCAGGGUACCGUGACAUUGAGUAGGCGCAAAGUGUAUCACUCCAGCAUGCCAUGCUCUAGUGCAUGUCAACAUUUUCUCCACUGCAAUGGAAGCUGCAGAUUUUUCUCCACUCUACUUGCCUUGCUAGUGUUUGCUUUAAUGCCUCAAUGGUGCACUAUGCAUCUUUUGCACUCUGAAGACAGAGCUUGAUUAGUCUGUUUCUACUAUUAGUUCAUGCAAACCUGGUUAUAUGAUGUUUUUUUUUCAUUGUUACUUGAUGUCUCAUUUUCCUGUUUUCUGUUAUAUUUUUCUAGGGAAGGUUCUUGUAAUUAUUAGUUCUUUGAUUGUAUGAUGCAACCGCUUACUCGAUGUCAUUCUCAUUGUUCUUGUAGUUGCAUAUAUGGAAGUGUGUGCUUGGUUUGGUUCCAUUUAUCUUUCUCUCAUGCCUGCCCUUUUGAUCUUAUAGGAAUUGAGGCUUCGCCAAGGAACAAGACUGGUAACUAGCGCAAAGGAGAUCAUGUCGAGAGGUGGCACUGCUAGACUUUUUGAUGUGUAGUUAUGGCAUAAAAAAGACGAAAAAAUGGUGUCUUGUAUGAUUCCAUAAGGUGUACGUAGCAUAUCUUUCCAUGUGGAUCAGUACAACUUAUGUACGGUCUUGAGUUCACAAAUCUUAUAGUAAUCUUUGUAGCUCUUCGUAAAGCAAGAUUGGCCCUUUUUUUGUGAGCAACAAUUCAAACAGAAAUCUGUUGUAUCAGUUCUUGUGAUAGAUAGAAGAAAGUUCACUCGCCAAAAGGUUAAAGAAGUCUACCUAAUAAUUUGCAAAUCUUAAAGAUAAUGAUCAGUUUGAAUUAAAAAAUGGUUUGCAUUAAAAACAAAUGAUCGGAUCAAAUUAAAAACAAUGAUUAGUUUGAAUUAAAAAAAUCUAAAUUAAAAAA
RNAcentral lists this long non-coding RNA (3024 nucleotides) under Triticum aestivum (bread wheat). Its description in RNAcentral is "long non-coding RNA (TAES_LNC011704)". Lineage: Eukaryota; Viridiplantae; Streptophyta; Magnoliopsida; Poales; Poaceae. The record is from RNAcentral.